AAAGGAAUAGACGGGGGCCCGCACAAGCAGUGGAGUAUGUGGUUUAAUUCGAAGCAACGCGAAGAACCUUACCGGGGCUUGACAUGGGGACGACAGGUGCAGAGAUGUGCCCUUCUUCGGACGUCCCACACAGGUGGUGCAUGGUUGUCGUCAGCUCGUGUCGUGAGAUGUUGGGUUAAGUCCCGCAACGAGCGCAACCCUUAUUAUUAGUUGCUACAUUCAGUUGAGCACUCUAAUGAGACUGCCGUUGGCAAAACGGAGGAAGGUGGGGAUGACGUCAAAUCAUCAUGCCCUUUAUGUCCCGGGCUACACACGUACUACAAUGGCGUUCAACAAUGAGUUGCGAACCCGCGAGGGGGAGCUAAUCUCCAAAAAGCGCCUCAGUUCAGAUUGCAGGCUGCAACUCGCCUGCAUGAAGUCGGAAUUGCUAGUAAUCGUGAAUCAGCAUGUCACGGUGAAUACGUUCCCGGGCCUUGUACACACCGCCCGU
Molecule: ribosomal RNA, 490 nt
Filed under: uncultured bacterium
Lineage: Bacteria
Description: bacterial SSU rRNA
Rfam family: Bacterial small subunit ribosomal RNA
Source: RNAcentral